The sequence is a transfer RNA, 72 nucleotides long. It matches the Rfam family "tRNA". From Rfam's summary of the family: Transfer RNA (tRNA) molecules are approximately 80 nucleotides in length. Their secondary structure includes four short double-helical elements and three loops (D, anti-codon, and T loops). The record is from Rfam.
GGUUGCGUGGUGUAAUGGUUAUCACUUCAGACUCUGAAUCUGACAAUCUGAGUUCGAAUCUCGGCGCGACCA